Molecule: long non-coding RNA, 2288 nt
Filed under: Macaca fascicularis (crab-eating macaque)
Lineage: Eukaryota; Metazoa; Chordata; Mammalia; Primates; Cercopithecidae
Description: lncRNA (ENSMFAG00000063314.1)
Rfam family: Small nucleolar RNA SNORA44 (bases 436-567)
Source: RNAcentral
CCUUUUUCCCCGCCGCAAGCUUGUUGCGGGUUCACCAUAUUUAAGGGUCUUCUUACCUCCCUGCAAGCCAUAACCCGCUAGUUGCUGCUACCAGCCCGCACUCGCCGGGGCUUUCUCCCAAGGCCUCGAUAUGGUGGUGAACGUGGCACGGAGGAGUCGGACCUUCCUUCCCAGUGGGCCCGAGCUCCAGAAGGGACCCUCGGUCUUGAGAGGGGUCGGAUCCCGCUGGGGCCGCGCCCUUCUCUCGCUUCGGCCUGCGCAACUCUGCGCUCUGGGCUGACAGUUCUCAUUUUGCUGUCCAGAUGAAGACUCUGAGAUGACAGAAGGUGAUCUGUCUGGUGAUCAAGGACUCCCGGGGUCACAUCAGUGAUGAAAUGCAGGGGACCUGGUAGGUUUCUUUUGGAGACUGACUGGGGGCUCCCUGGUGGGACAGAACAGCAUGUUUCCAAGGGCUGUGGCUGGUGGUAGCCAUGGGAUCUCCAACUGCAUGCAAGAGCAACCUGGAAAGACUUUGACAGCGCAGGUCAGUACAAUACCUGCAAGCUGCCACUCAGCUUUCCUAUAAUGUUUCAGGACCAGGGCUGGAAGCCUUCCACGUGUCAACUUCCAAUGUAGAUGGGUGGUUUUUUUUUUUUUGAGGCGGAGUCUCGCUCUGUCACCCAGGCUGGAGUGCAGUGGCACGAUCUUGGCUCACGGCAACCUCUACCUCCUGGGUUCAAGUGAUUCUCCUGCCUCAGCCUUCCGAGUAUCUGGGAUUACAGGUGCCCGCCAUCACACCCAGCUAAUUUUCUUGUAUUUUUAGUAUAGAUGGGUUUCACCGUGUUGGCUAGAUUGGUCUUGAACUCCUGACCUCAGGUGAUUCGCCCCCUUGGCCUCCCCUCCCAAAGUGCUGGGAUUACAGGCAUGAACCACCACUCUUGGCCAGUUUAGCUUUCACACUAAGCUUUUUGUUCUGCAGGUUGCCCCAAGUUUCCUGGCCGUGUGUGAUCCUGAGGAGGUGAGCUUGUUUCUGGAGCUGUGCUUUAAGGUAAAGUUGAUGUGGAACACAGCUUAAUCCUCCUGUUCCCUUUCCCAUCGGAUCUGAACACCGGUCUUGGUGGUCGUAAAAGGAGGAAAAGUAAUAGUGAAGCUGGCCUGAAUGUUGUAAUCUGGUAUAUGGCAUGUGGGCUAGUUUCAGACAGGUUCAGAGAUGGUUGGAUCUCUGAAAUUGUAAAAUGAAAUAUAGGCUAAGGGAAGGAUGUGUAUGAAGCUCUGGAGGUUGGUAUAGUAAUAGCAUUUGGGAGGGAUCUGUCAUAGCUUUCUUGCCUCUUAAUUAAGGUGUUAUUUUCUUUUAGAUUCAUGUUACAUGCAAAGCUGUCCUCGUGUGACUAUGGACCUAUGGAGUUGGGUAAGUUAGUGGCCACCCGAAGCUCUGUCAGCGUGUAGCUGCAGGUAGUGCUCAGUUUUCGGGGAUCCUGUCCUAAGUAGUCAGCCUAAUAGAACUAUAAGGUUACUUAGGUCUGUGUCAAAUUUUUUUUUUUUUUUAAGACAGGGUCUUUCUGUCACCCAGGCUGGAGUGCAGUGGCACGAUCUUGGCUUAUUGCAAACUCCGUCUCCCAGGUUCAAGUGAUUCUUCUGCCUCAGCCUCCUGAGUAGCUGGGACUAUAAGCAUGCACCACUAUGCCCGGCUAAUUUUUGUAUUUUAAGUAGAGACAGGGUUUUGCCAUGUUGCCCAGGGCAGUCUUGAACUCCUGACCCCAAGUGAUCUGCCUGCCUUGGCCUACCAAAGUGCUGGGAUUACAGGCAUUUCAGUAACAUUUACAUUUAUUUGGCCUUCCUCGUGUGCCCUGUUUGUUAGCUGUUCAUUACCAGAGGGCAAAGGUGCUUAGAACAUGAUUUGCCCACCCUGCAAGACCACAUAUUGCUGGAAGUUGAAGGCAGCAGAGGGCACCGUGGGCCACAAGGCCUGGUAGCCGCAAAUGUUCAGUGGUGGCUGGAGCUCAUGAUGCAUUCUUUGGUAGGACUUCAAGGGGUUCCAUGUAGCACACACUAUUUAGAAUGACUGGUCCAGGAUGAAACAAUCUGAGUGGACAUCCAUGGAUGAGAAAUGCGGAUAUGGGACUGAGACCAGCUCCUAGGAAAAUGCCUGGGUGUGGGGGAAAUCUGGGAAUUUCUAACACAAUGGCUUAUACUUCCUUUGCAGGAGAAUCUCUACGGGAAGCAAAAGGCAAGACCCCGGUCAUUUUAGGUAGAAACAACAGCAUGCUCUAGGUGUAGAUCAAUUGAAGAUUAAUAAAGACUGAUAAAAG